RNAcentral lists this transfer RNA (73 nucleotides) under Parcubacteria bacterium DG_74_2. Its description in RNAcentral is "tRNA-Arg". It matches the Rfam family "tRNA". Rfam says of the family: Transfer RNA (tRNA) molecules are approximately 80 nucleotides in length. Their secondary structure includes four short double-helical elements and three loops (D, anti-codon, and T loops). Further hydrogen bonds mediate the characteristic L-shaped molecular structure. tRNAs have two regions of fundamental functional importance: the anti-codon, which is responsible for specific mRNA codon recognition, and the 3' end, to which the tRNAs corresponding amino acid is attached (by aminoacyl-tRNA synthetases). tRNAs cope with the degeneracy of the genetic code in two manners: having more than one tRNA (with a specific anti-codon) for a particular amino acid; and 'wobble' base-pairing, i.e. permitting non-standard base-pairing at the 3rd anti-codon position. The record is from RNAcentral. Lineage: Bacteria; Candidatus Parcubacteria.
GCCCCCGUAGUUGAAUGGAUACAAUGCCGCGCUUCGGACGCGGAGGUUGAGGGUUCAAAUCCUUCCGGGGGCA